This 257-nucleotide ribosomal RNA is filed under the name uncultured bacterium. RNAcentral describes it as "partial 16S ribosomal RNA". It matches the Rfam family "Bacterial small subunit ribosomal RNA", at positions 524 to 776 of the family's 1533-position model. The record is from RNAcentral.
UACGUAGGGACCGAGCGUUGUCCGGAUUCAUUGGGCGUAAAGAGCUCGUAGGCGGCUGUUCAAGUCGAACGUGAAAACUCGGAGCUCAACUCCGAGCCUGCGUUCGAUACUGGACGGCUAGAGUCUGGUAGGGGGAUCUGGAAUUCCUGGUGUAGCGGUGGAAUGCGCAGAGUAUCAGGAGGAACACCGGUGGGCGGAAGGCGGGAUCCGUGGGCCAGUACUGACGCUGAGGAGCGAAAGCGUGGGGAGCAAACAGG